UACGUAGGGUGCGAGCGUUGUCCGGAAUUAUUGGGCGUAAAGAGCUCGUAGGCGGUUUGUCACGUCUGCUGUGAAAUCCCGAGGCUCAACCUCGGGCCUGCAGUGGGUACGGGCAGACUGGAGUGCGGUAGGGGAGAAUGGAAUUCCUGGUGUAGCGGUGGAAUGCGCAGAUAUCAGGAGGAACACCGAUGGCGAAGGCAGUUCUCUGGGCCGAUACUGACGCUGAGGAGCGAAAGCGUGGGGAGCGAACAGG
Molecule: ribosomal RNA, 253 nt
Filed under: uncultured bacterium
Lineage: Bacteria
Description: partial 16S ribosomal RNA
Rfam family: Bacterial small subunit ribosomal RNA
Source: RNAcentral